GACGAACGCUGGCGGCGUGCUUAACACAUGCAAGUCGAACGGAAAGGCCCUGAUUUUGUGGGGUGCUCGAGUGGCGAACGGGUGAGUAACACGUGAGUAACCUGACCUUGACUUUGGGAUAACUUCAGGAAACUGGAGCUAAUACAGGAUAGGAGAUCCUGCUGCAUGGUGGGGGUUGGAAAGUUUCGGCGGUUGGGGAUGGACUCGCGGCUUAUCAGCUUGUUGGUGGGGUAGUGGCUUACCAAGGCUUUGACUGGUCGCCGGCCUGUGAGGGUGACCGGCCACAUUGGGACUGAGAUACGGCCCAGACUCCUACGGGGGGCAGCAGUGGGGAAUAUUGCACAAUGGGCGGAAGCCUGAUGCAGCGACGCCGCGUGCGGGAUGACGGCCUUCGGGUUGUAAACCGCUUUCGCCUGUGACGAAGCGGGAGUGACGGUAAUGGGUAAAGAAGCACCGGCUAACUACGUG
Molecule: ribosomal RNA, 468 nt
Filed under: uncultured bacterium
Lineage: Bacteria
Description: partial 16S ribosomal RNA
Rfam family: Bacterial small subunit ribosomal RNA
Source: RNAcentral